GCCCGGGUAGCUCAGUUGGUAGAGCAGUGGACUGAAAAUCCGCGUGUCGGUGGUUCGAAUCCGCCCCCGGGCA
Molecule: non-coding RNA, 73 nt
Organism: Thalassospira alkalitolerans
Lineage: Bacteria; Pseudomonadati; Pseudomonadota; Alphaproteobacteria; Rhodospirillales; Thalassospiraceae
Source: Rfam